RNAcentral lists this unclassified non-coding RNA (240 nucleotides) under soil metagenome. RNAcentral's name for it is "partial contains 5.8S ribosomal RNA, internal transcribed spacer 2, and large subunit ribosomal RNA". The record is from RNAcentral.
AACACUGUUAACCUGCGGUACCUGCGGAGGGAUCAUUACCGACACCUGCCAGCAGCGAACGAGCGAAGCGAGUGAGCGCUGGCAUGGUGGAGCCAAAGCCAAAGAAUAGCCCUAAGGCAAAGCAGUAUCCACUGUUGCCUGCGGCGCUUUUUUUCUGGCAGGUCUUCGACCUGGCACCUGGUUCCAAUAAGAACAAACUACAAACAAAAAUUCAACCUCAUACAAAAUUACAACUUUCAA